ACGGUAAGUUGGAGAUUUUGAUGAAGGAUAAGGCGGACCGCAACGAAGAAAAGGUGAACGAGGAGAAAGAGCGCGUCGCGGCCGAGAUGAAUAGCAACCUCUACGCGCAACUCAUGCCUGCGGCGCUUCCGGCUCCGCCGAUGCCGGGCAUGCCGGGGUACGAGCAACCGCAACCGGGAUACGGGCAACCGCAGUAUUACUGAGGCACAUCAUCUCAAUAGCUCAGCGCGCGACUCGCGCGCGCACACUUAGUUCAGCAUUGAAUAAAAGCGAAACUCAGACGCAAA
This 287-nucleotide long non-coding RNA is filed under the name Ostreococcus sp. 'lucimarinus'. RNAcentral's name for it is "long non-coding RNA (OLUC_LNC000002)". Lineage: Eukaryota; Viridiplantae; Chlorophyta; Mamiellophyceae; Mamiellales; Bathycoccaceae. The record is from RNAcentral.